GCCUGGGUGGCUCAGUCAGUUGAGUGUCUGACUUUGGCUCAGGUCAUGACCUCAGGGUUCAUGGGUUCGAUCCCCGUGUCAGGCU
Molecule: transfer RNA, 85 nt
Filed under: Felis catus (domestic cat)
Lineage: Eukaryota; Metazoa; Chordata; Mammalia; Carnivora; Felidae
Also listed under: 2 other names
Rfam family: tRNA
About the family: Transfer RNA (tRNA) molecules are approximately 80 nucleotides in length.
Source: Rfam by way of RNAcentral